ACUCCUACGGGAGGCAGCAGUAGGGAAUCUUCGGCAAUGGGGGCAACCCUGACCGAGCAACGCCGCGUGAGUGAAGAAGGUUUUCGGAUCGUAAAACUCUGUUGUUAGAGAAGAACGUUAAGUAGAGUGGAAAAUUACUUAAGUGACGGUAUCUAACCAGAAAGGGACGGCUAACUACGUGCCAGCAGCCGCGGUAAUACGUAGGUCCAAGCGUUGUCCGGAUUUAUUGGGCGUAAAGCGAGCGCAGGUGGUUUCUUAAGUCUGAUGUAAAAGGCAGUGGCUCAACCAUUGUGUGCAUUGGAAACUGGGAGACUUGAGUGCAGGAGAGGAGAGUGGAAUUCCAUGUGUAGCGGUGAAAUGCGUAGAUAUAUGGAGGAACACCGGAGGCGAAAGCGGCUCUCUGGCCUGUAACUGACACUGAGGCUCGAAAGCGUGGGGAGCAAACAGGAUUAGAUACCCUGGUAGGAUAGCG
RNAcentral lists this ribosomal RNA (472 nucleotides) under uncultured bacterium. Its description in RNAcentral is "bacterial SSU rRNA". It matches the Rfam family "Bacterial small subunit ribosomal RNA", at positions 335 to 799 of the family's 1533-position model. The record is from RNAcentral.